RNAcentral lists this long non-coding RNA (1328 nucleotides) under Nicotiana benthamiana. RNAcentral's name for it is "long non-coding RNA (NBEN_LNC036966)". Lineage: Eukaryota; Viridiplantae; Streptophyta; Magnoliopsida; Solanales; Solanaceae. The record is from RNAcentral.
ACUGAAAUUUCUGCUUCAAUAUUAAAUUUUGAUACUGAUUCAAUAUUAAGCUACUUUUUCAUACACGUCUAUCAACUACUAAAAUUAAGUUAUUGAUUCAGAUUAACCACACAUAAAUAAAUACAUUAACAGGAAAAUUUAAAAAAAAACACAAACUGCUUCUACUUCUUAUGCAACACAGUAACAACCAACAAGCAUAAGUGCAUAACUAACAUUUAACAUAUAGCCUUCAGUCUUAAACAGACACAAGAGAAUUAGAUUGAAGGCCAUGUAACAAGCUGCCAAACUGCUAGCAUUCAGACAUAAACUGCUAGCAUUCAGACACAUAAACUGCUAGCAUUUAGAUUCCAUGCCAUGUAACAAGCUGCCAAUGCCAAGCUGUAAUUGUAACAUUUACACACUGCCAAUGCCAAACAUUUACACAUUGCCAAGCUGCAAUUGUAACAAACAUGCAGAAGUAAUAUCAGGAACACCUGAACAACCAAUUGCAUUGUUCCAAUUACAUUUACACACUGCCAAUGCCAAGAACACCUGAUUAGCCAAACCAUAAACACGAAUACACAACAUAUAAGAAAGACAGUAACAGGCAACAACCAAAUAAGUCAAUAGCAGGCAGGAGCCAAAUAAACAAAGUGCAAAACAGAAAGGAAAUCCCUCAAUUCAAUUUUACACUAAUAGUCUCGAAUCAACUUAGUCUUAAUUCUUAAACUAGACUAAUAGUAGGAUGGCAAAGACAUACUCGUAUAAGUUCUCAUGUCAAGAAAUGGUGUGCUGAAGCAGCAAAAUUCUUUGUUAGUACAGAUUAACUCAAAUUACAAUUAAUUUUCCCUUAACACAUCACUAACUAAUUCAUAUUAACAACUAAUUUCAGCAAGCGUCCACUGAGACGAGUCACAAAUAGAGAAAACCAAUUUCAUAGCUAAUCAACAUCAUAAAAAAAGCACAGCCUCCUCAAAGCAUAAAAAAAUCGAUUAUACAAAUCUUUAAAACUCCACAGAGCAUCCGAGAAAAUGGACAUUAGUUCUAUCUAAACUUCAAAACUUAUAUCAUGAAAUGAGAGUUCCUUGAGACAAAUUAGAAAAAUAAAGAUUGAAGAAUGAAAGUUAAAAAGUUAUGAACCUAUUGAAGUCUUGAUUUGAAGAGUUGACAGCGGUGAACGUACACCAGACAGCUGAUCUGGCGAUCUCAUGGGUGAGUGGCCACAACAAACACCGGACAACAAUCUCACAAGAGAGUCAUUCGUUCUUAGGUUUCUCAAUACCUCAAACGCUCAGUCGUUCUUAUUUCUUAGUUCUUAGGUUUCUCAAAUGUUAGGACUUAAGGUAAGA